UAUAUAUAUAUAUAUAUAGGUGAGGGAUCAGACAAAGAGCAGCCCGAAUACCUCUUAUGAUGACCCCCUUUUUUUUGUCAGAGAAAACAUGUACCAAAGAUUAUCCACCUCAAAAAUCUCUCCCAACUAUAUCCCCAAACAGCCUACAGGCAUUCUUUUAAAUAAGGAAUGCCGUUUAGCAAAAUUUUUUGUUUGUUUGUUUUUAGUCUAAAAAAUAAGAUAAAAUGUCUGAAAACAAGUCUCUUCUAGUGUCUUGAAAAUCUGCUUUUGCAGUGUAAACUCCUAAAUUAAAGCACACAUAAAGAUGAUCUGUGGCAGAAAUUUACUACAUAAUUAACACCUAAGUGAUCAAACUCAGCAGAAUGAGCGGCUAAUCGUCCGAAAAGUUGUAACGUUGGGCGUCCUGCAGGCCACAACACAUCCACUGAUACUCCCCAGGUCCAUGCAUCUUUACUCUGACAAGGAGAUGAAGUAGGUGAUUCCUGCUGGUUUAGAGAUAUGGUCCAUCACUCCUCCAUCUCUUCUCCUCCUCAUCCCACCAUCAGACCUUUGCCUUCGUGUCACUCCUACCACAGCUCUCAAUCUCAAACUAAGUCUGGCAAGGUCAAAUUGACUUUAGAUUAAUUGACUGUCAAUUAAAGUAGUAAUUGUUUCAUAAUGUGCUGUGCACCCGCCAUCCACCCUACACUGAUAGGGAGGGCUCAUUUCCGUCAGAGCAGGUUUAAGCCGAUAAGCGGGUGAGUGAUGCCUCUCAGAGAGGGAGGGAGGUGACAGGCGGACAUGUGUGUGUUUGUGUGAAUGGAUGAGGAUCUAUAAUGUGCUCGUGUGACAUCGUUAAUGAGACGUCAUGAAUUUUCCCACGACAGCUCUGCGGCUGGACCCCAUGCUCCACUGUCAUUGGCCCAGAGGAGGGUCCAUGUACAUCACACAGACAGAAGAUAAGAAAAAUGUGUUUUGGCCUCAGAAGCAGACUCCAAGCGUGAAACCCUGGAGUGACUGUAGCACUCCUGGACGCCUCCCCGGUGAGAUUUUCCGAGCUCGUCCAACUGGGAGGAGACCCAAGGGAAGACUCAGGACACGCUGGAGGGACUAUGUCUCUCGGCUGGCCAGGGAACAUCUUGGGAAUUCCCCAGAAGAGCUGGCCCAAGUGGCUGGAGAGAGGGAAGCCUUGGCUCCUUGGCUCAGGCUGCUGACCCUGCAACCCGACUCCGGAUAAGCGGAAGAAAAUGGACGGGUGGAUGGAUGAACAAAUAAAUGUUGUAAAAUUAACUGUGAAUUUUGUUUCUGCUGAACUUGAAAUGAAAAACAAUUUAUGCAGCACCUUCAAUAAACAACAUACAGAAAAAUCUGCAUCUCAUUUGUUGUGAGCAACCUUAGACAUGAGCAACAGUGAUUUACUGCUUAUUUAGUCUUUGUUCAUUUCUGAGGAUUAAAAACAGACUCAGACUCCUUGCUGAGUAAUGAAACAGGACAAAUUUGGACCAAUAGUUGUUUUUAUGAAAGCACGGACGUUGAACCUAAUUUCUAAUCUAAGUUGGACCUUCGUUACAACACGCACGCGGUCACAGAAGACCGUUCGUCCGUCUGCUGCCCUGCUGCUCCCACAGAGAGCAGUGGUAUUUUUCACUGAAUUAUCUCCACUUAAUGACCACGAGAUUCUAAUUAAAGGCAUGAUUAGGGAUCGCUCUUAAGCACCUUAUUGGAAAUUAAGUACAAUCCAUUCUGCCUGACAGCGAGUUUCUAGAGAUACACUUUUGCUGAUCACCGAGAACUGCAGGGAGGAGAUGCUCAGUCUUGCUUCUUUUGUUUACAGCAGCACAGCAGGUCAGGCCUGUGGCCACUUUUCAUCCACAGACACAAUGUAGCAGGGACGAAAUUUUGAUUUCAGAAGUGGGGGGGACACAGCAGGCUUGUGCGGAUUUGGGGUGGGGGGUGUUAUGUAAAGACCCCUUGACACGUCACUUGCCCAUCUCAAUAAUUUUUAAUCCUCUAUAUCUAUAUAUCUAUAUAUAUAUAUAUAUAUAUAUAUAUAUAUAUAUAUAUAUAU
Molecule: long non-coding RNA, 2047 nt
Filed under: Nothobranchius furzeri (turquoise killifish)
Lineage: Eukaryota; Metazoa; Chordata; Actinopteri; Cyprinodontiformes; Nothobranchiidae
Description: lncRNA (ENSNFUG00015021451.1)
Source: RNAcentral